AUGAGUCGUCAUGAUGGCAUCAACAUCCUCGAUGGAAAGUUCUACCUAGGAGAUGAUGGCUAUGCAUGUCGGACAGGUGUUCUUUCACCCUUCAGGAAAACCAAGUACCAUCUAAAUGAGUUCUCCUGUAGGAACUAUCCUAGGACUCCUCAGGAACUGUUCAAUCUCGGACACUCCAGCCUUAGAGUAACGGUUGAGUGGGCAUUUGGAGCUCUAGAGAAUAGGUUUAAGAUCCUGGAUCAGAAGUCAUUCCAUCCUUACCCUACGCAGGUCAAGCUUGUUCUUGUAUGUUGCAUCAUUCACAACUGGAUCCUGAAAUGAGGAAUUGAUGAACUUGUGCCGGAGGGGGAAGAUGUGACUCCUGAUGAGGUCAUCAGCUCCGGCCAUGGUGUGGAGGCAUUCGACAAGGAAGCGUGGAAGAAGAAGAAGAAGACUUGUACUAUCAUUUGCUAG
This 453-nucleotide ribosomal RNA is filed under the name Triticum aestivum (bread wheat). RNAcentral describes it as "partial small subunit ribosomal RNA". The record is from RNAcentral. Lineage: Eukaryota; Viridiplantae; Streptophyta; Magnoliopsida; Poales; Poaceae.